This 1215-nucleotide long non-coding RNA is filed under the name Sus scrofa (pig). RNAcentral describes it as "lncRNA (ENSSSCG00005033547.1)". Lineage: Eukaryota; Metazoa; Chordata; Mammalia; Artiodactyla; Suidae. The record is from RNAcentral.
CAUUUGAGACAGUUUUUAUUAAAUAUACAAAAGCAAAAUAAAGCAAGCAGUCUCUAAGAAGGGAGGACAACAUAAGGGCAUUGUCUUUGGACGGUGGUACAGCACCAUUAAGGUUAACUUAGAUUAACAAAACAUGAGCAUAGACAGCUAACUAUAUUCUGUGUCUCCCUUAGUAGUUUUAAGGUCUACCUAGUCAUCAUUAUUCAAGAAAUUUUUCCUCCCCAGAAUACACAAACAUAGUAACCAAAUGUUUAUUAUACUUAGGAAAAGCAUUGUACUCUAAAAAUUAACUUAGUCUUUUCCAUGUCUAGAUGUUCUCUUCAUCUCCCACCAUGUUCAUUAGUAAGACUGAAGUAAGGUAAAACCUUCACUCAAAUCCCACACAACACCAUACGUGGUUAAUACUAUUUGCCAAAAUCAAGCAGAACAAGCAGCAGAGUUGUUUACUCCUUGUAGACAUUUAACUUUAAAACUUAAUUUUAAUCAAAGUAAAACUGUUCUAAGAAAGCUACUGGACAUAUCCAGAAACAGAACUCCAUUUUCUCCCUUGGCACCACCCCGGAAUAUUAGUUCAGAACCAUCUGCUAAGCUCUGUCAAAUCUUCUUACAAUUAUACUGUACAACUGAAAGAUGCACAUUUGGAGUGUUACAUGAUAUAAGUAAAUUGGAUGUAUACUUUUGAAUACAGGUUAUUUUCAUGGGCUUGACAUAUCACACUGCUAGAAUGUAACCACGCCUAAGAUGAAAGCCCACUCCCCUGCAAGGUAUAAGAAAUCCACAGAAGCCAUUCUUAGUACUGUAGCAAUAAUAAUCCAUGAAUACUGUUCAUAAAUAUAUAAUAUGGGGGAAAAGAGAAGUGUUAUACCAAGGAAAGUGAUUUGCUAGUUUCAAAAUGUAUCUACAUCUCUAUUUCUUUCCUAUGCAAUUAUGUGAUGAAUUUUCAAAAUACACACUGUUGAUCUGCAGAGCAAAGCAAAGCUCCAUGUUUAAAAAAUAUUUUAAACAUUGGAGUUCCCCUCGUGGCGCAGUGGUUAAUGAACCCGACUAGGAACCAUGAGGUUGCAGGUUCGAUCCCUGGCCUUGCUCAGGGGGUUAGGGAUCCGGUGUUGCCGUGAGCUGUGGUGUAGGUCUCAGAUGCGGCGCUGUGGCUCUGACAUAGGCCGGCGUCUACAGCUUUGAUUGGACCCCUAGCCUGGGAAGCUCCAUAUGCUGCGG